Molecule: ribosomal RNA, 328 nt
Filed under: uncultured eukaryote
Lineage: Eukaryota
Description: partial 18S ribosomal RNA
Rfam family: Eukaryotic small subunit ribosomal RNA
Source: RNAcentral
CCCUUAGAUGUUCUGGGCUGCACGCGUGCUACACUGAUAUUGCCAAUAUGUCAUUCUUAUCCGAAAUGGAUUGGGUAAUCAAGUAAUGAAAUUUCAUGCUUGGAAUCGGUAAUUGCAAUUUUAUCGUGAACGAGGAAUUCCUAGUAAGCACUAGUCAUCAGCUAAUGUUGAUUAUGUCCCUGCCCUUUGUACACACCGCCCGUCGCUACUACCGAUUGAAUGGUUUAGUGAGAAUUUUGGACUGGAACUCCCUUGCUCAGCAAUGGGCGAGGGGGAGUCCGGGAAGCUAUUCGAACUGUAUCAUUUAGAGGAAGUAAAAGUCGUAACA